RNAcentral lists this unclassified non-coding RNA (332 nucleotides) under Hevea brasiliensis (rubber tree). Lineage: Eukaryota; Viridiplantae; Streptophyta; Magnoliopsida; Malpighiales; Euphorbiaceae. The record is from RNAcentral.
GGUGGAUGGAAAUAAGAUUCAGAUCCCCUAAAGGUAAUAUCCAUGCUCACAAAAUAUUUCCAUGUAGGAGAGUGGUAACACUUAUACCCCUUCUGAGUACUGAAAUAACCAAUAAAGACACUUUAGGGCUCGAGGUUCUAACAUCCUCCUAUUAGGCUGGUGAACAAAGCAAACACAACCAAAUACCUUUGGAGGAACGGUAUAUGAAUUUUGACCCUGCAAAACCUCUAAAAGGACUUUUAAACUCUAAUGUUUGAAGAGGCAUCCUGUUAAUAAGAUGUGCAGCAGAAAGAAUAGCAUCCCCUCACUAAGGUUUAGGAACAUUCAUGGUA